This 253-nucleotide ribosomal RNA is filed under the name uncultured bacterium. RNAcentral describes it as "partial 16S ribosomal RNA". It matches the Rfam family "Bacterial small subunit ribosomal RNA", at positions 524 to 776 of the family's 1533-position model. The record is from RNAcentral.
UACAGAGGUCUCAAGCGUUGUUCGGAUUCAUUGGGCGUAAAGGGUGCGUAGGCGGCCGCGCAAGUCAGGUGUGAAAUCCCGGGGCUCAACCCCGGAACUGCACUUGAUACUGCGUUGCUAGAGUACUGGAGAGGAGACUGGAAUUUACGGUGUAGCAGUGAAAUGCGUAGAUAUCGUAAGGAAGACCAGUGGCGAAGGCGAGUCUCUGGACAGUUACUGACGCUGAGGCACGAAGGCCAGGGGAGCAAACGGG